Molecule: ribosomal RNA, 2538 nt
Filed under: Escherichia coli
Lineage: Bacteria; Pseudomonadati; Pseudomonadota; Gammaproteobacteria; Enterobacterales; Enterobacteriaceae
Description: partial 23S ribosomal RNA
Rfam family: Bacterial large subunit ribosomal RNA
Source: RNAcentral
GGGACACGUGGUAUCCUGUCUGAAUAUGGGGGGACCAUCCUCCAAGGCUAAAUACUCCUGACUGACCGAUAGUGAACCAGUACCGUGAGGGAAAGGCGAAAAGAACCCCGGCGAGGGGAGUGAAAAAGAACCUGAAACCGUGUACGUACAAGCAGUGGGAGCCUCUUAAUGGGGUGACUGCGUACCUUUUGUAUAAUGGGUCAGCGACUUAUAUUCUGUAGCAAGGUUAACCGAAUAGGGGAGCCGAAGGGAAACCGAGUCUUAACUGGGCGUUAAGUUGCAGGGUAUAGACCCGAAACCCGGUGAUCUAGCCAUGGGCAGGUUGAAGGUUGGGUAACACUAACUGGAGGACCGAACCGACUAAUGUUGAAAAAUUAGCGGAUGACUUGUGGCUGGGGGUGAAAGGCCAAUCAAACCGGGAGAUAGCUGGUUCUCCCCGAAAGCUAUUUAGGUAGCGCCUCGUGAAUUCAUCUCCGGGGGUAGAGCACUGUUUCGGCAAGGGGGUCAUCCCGACUUACCAACCCGAUGCAAACUGCGAAUACCGGAGAAUGUUAUCACGGGAGACACACGGCGGGUGCUAACGUCCGUCGUGAAGAGGGAAACAACCCAGACCGCCAGCUAAGGUCCCAAAGUCAUGGUUAAGUGGGAAACGAUGUGGGAAGGCCCAGACAGCCAGGAUGUUGGCUUAGAAGCAGCCAUCAUUUAAAGAAAGCGUAAUAGCUCACUGGUCGAGUCGGCCUGCGCGGAAGAUGUAACGGGGCUAAACCAUGCACCGAAGCUGCGGCAGCGACACUAUGUGUUGUUGGGUAGGGGAGCGUUCUGUAAGCCUGCGAAGGUGUGCUGUGAGGCAUGCUGGAGGUAUCAGAAGUGCGAAUGCUGACAUAAGUAACGAUAAAGCGGGUGAAAAGCCCGCUCGCCGGAAGACCAAGGGUUCCUGUCCAACGUUAAUCGGGGCAGGGUGAGUCGACCCCUAAGGCGAGGCCGAAAGGCGUAGUCGAUGGGAAACAGGUUAAUAUUCCUGUACUUGGUGUUACUGCGAAGGGGGGACGGAGAAGGCUAUGUUGGCCGGGCGACGGUUGUCCCGGUUUAAGCGUGUAGGCUGGUUUUCCAGGCAAAUCCGGAAAACCAAGGCUGAGGCGUGAUGACGAGGCACUACGGUGCUGAAGCGACAAAUGCCCUGCUUCCAGGAAAAGCCUCUAAGCAUCAGGUAACAUCAAAUCGUACCCCAAACCGACACAGGUGGUCAGGUAGAGAAUACCAAGGCGCUUGAGAGAACUCGGGUGAAGGAACUAGGCAAAAUGGUGCCGUAACUUCGGGAGAAGGCACGCUGAUAUGUAGGUGAAGCGACUUGCUCGUGGAGCUGAAAUCAGUCGAAGAUACCAGCUGGCUGCAACUGUUUAUUAAAAACACAGCACUGUGCAAACACGAAAGUGGACGUAUACGGUGUGACGCCUGCCCGGUGCCGGAAGGUUAAUUGAUGGGGUUAGCGGUAACGCGAAGCUCUUGAUCGAAGCCCCGGUAAACGGCGGCCGUAACUAUAACGGUCCUAAGGUAGCGAAAUUCCUUGUCGGGUAAGUUCCGACCUGCACGAAUGGCGUAAUGAUGGCCAGGCUGUCUCCACCCGAGACUCAGUGAAAUUGAACUCGCUGUGAAGAUGCAGUGUACCCGCGGCAAGACGGAAAGACCCCGUGAACCUUUACUAUAGCUUGACACUGAACAUUGAGCCUUGAUGUGUAGGAUAGGUGGGAGGCUUUGAAGUGUGGACGCCAGUCUGCAUGGAGCCGACCUUGAAAUACCACCCUUUAAUGUUUGAUGUUCUAACGUUGGCCCGUAAUCCGGGUUGCGGACAGUGUCUGGUGGGUAGUUUGACUGGGGCGGUCUCCUCCUAAAGAGUAACGGAGGAGCACGAAGGUUGGCUAAUCCUGGUCGGACAUCAGGAGGUUAGUGCAAUGGCAUAAGCCAGCUUGACUGCGAGCGUGACGGCGCGAGCAGGUGCGAAAGCAGGUCAUAGUGAUCCGGUGGUUCUGAAUGGAAGGGCCAUCGCUCAACGGAUAAAAGGUACUCCGGGGAUAACAGGCUGAUACCGCCCAAGAGUUCAUAUCGACGGCGGUGUUUGGCACCUCGAUGUCGGCUCAUCACAUCCUGGGGCUGAAGUAGGUCCCAAGGGUAUGGCUGUUCGCCAUUUAAAGUGGUACGCGAGCUGGGUUUAGAACGUCGUGAGACAGUUCGGUCCCUAUCUGCCGUGGGCGCUGGAGAACUGAGGGGGGCUGCUCCUAGUACGAGAGGACCGGAGUGGACGCAUCACUGGUGUUCGGGUUGUCAUGCCAAUGGCACUGCCCGGUAGCUAAAUGCGGAAGAGAUAAGUGCUGAAAGCAUCUAAGCACGAAACUUGCCCCGAGAUGAGUUCUCCCUGAGACUUAGAGUCUCCUGAAGGAACGUUGAAGACGACGACGUUGAUAGGCCGGGUGUGUAAGCGCAGCGAUGCGUUGAGCUAACCGGUACUAAUGAACCGUGAGGCUUAACCUUACAACGCCGAAG